UAGCUGCCAUGAAAAAUGUAAUUUGUAAUUGCAUUACUCAUCACAAAUGUAGUGGAGUAAAAAGUACAUUCACUUGCUCAAAAAUGUAGUCAAGUAAAGAGUAAAAGUAGCCAAAAAGAUACUUAAGUAGAGUAACUAAUUACAUUUACUCAAGUACUUUACACCUCUGCUCUUAACACAUCUUGGGAAAAUCUGAUAAGAUAAUCUGUAGAACCAUCAAGACAAUCAGGACUUUACUUAGGAUUGUCAUCUAUAUUUACAUAUUUAUUGUUGUGUUUUGACUAUAUUUUAAUUGUAAGACAGUCAGAAUGUAAAUGAUCAUUCUGUAAUUCUAGUGUAUAUUAGUUUGUCUGUUGUAAAUCCUGCCCACUUCUUUGCAUUGUCACACAUGCUUCAGUGCUCUGAGAGUGUUUAUAGUGCUGUGAGUUUAACACUUCAUGACUGAGAGCAGAACAGAACACAAUCUUCAUCAUCACACAAGACAAAAGAUCAACAAUGAACACAAUCACCUUCUUCAUCUGGACUCUCACACUGUUUGCUCAAGAAUCCAGAGGAGUGACUCUGACUCAACCUGAAGUUAAAACUGUCCAACAGGGUCAAACAGCUACAAUAGAGUGUCAUAUAGAUGUAGGAAUAAGGUAUAGCCACUUAGCCUGGUAUCAGCAGAAACCUGGAGAAGCUCCUAAACUCCUGAUUUAUUAUAUAAACAGCCUCCAGUCAGGAACUCCAUCUAGAUUCAGUGGCAGUGGAACAGCAAGUACUGGACGAGAUUUCACUCUGACCAUCAGUGGAGUCCAGACUGAAGAUACAGGAGAUUAUUACUGUCAGAGUUUACACAGCAUUAACAGUAAAGCUGUGUUCACACAGUGAUAAAGAGUGGUACAAAAACCUCGGUCAGUCAGACGUCACAGUGAUGCACUGAUACAGCUGAGAGAUACUGCAGCUGCUGAUGGAGGAUCACAAACAAUGGUGGAAAAAAAAGUACACUUCUAUGGUCAUGCAUCCAAUGUCAGUAUGUGCACUCAACUUGAGUGCGAUCUAAAAGCAGACCCCUGUGAGCCCUUGAAGACCCAUUUCCCACAUCCAGUAACCCAUGACGAUGUUUUUGUUAUGAUGGACGCUUGCCACAUGCUGAAGCUGACAUGCAAUAUGUUGCAGGCAUACAGCCCAAUUAGAAGCAUAACUGGCAGUAUCAAUUGAAGUACAUAGUUCAUCUGAACAAUGUCCAAAAGAAAAGUGGACUACAUGCUGCCAACAGAGUCACAGAUAAGCAUGUGAACUUUGCUAAUCAGAAGAUGAAGGUCUCCCUGGCUGCUCAGACUUUGAGUAGCUCUGUGGCAGUGGCGCUCCGCACGUCGCAGGAGGUGGGCUAUGCAGAGUUCAAAGAUUGUGAGGCUACUUCAGAAUUCAUUAAGGUAAUGCAGCUAGGGAUUUGCAUCACUGACCAAAAUCAUUUCUAACAUUUGAGUGAUUAAUUGCUUUAACCCCUUUAACCCUUUAACACCCACCCUCCCUUUGUGGUUGGUCCGUUGGUCAGCAACCCCAAAAUGAGGGGGGUUGUUAAAAUGUGAAUGCCACCAGGAUUAUCCCUUUAUCUUUUUCUUCUAUUUUUUUCAAUUUGAGCAUCGGGAAUGAUUAAAUAAUUAUGACCAUCCUCAAAUUCAACAAUAUGCAAGAACUUGGAUAAAACUACUACAUACUUACCUCAGAAGCACCCUUAUUGUCACAUGUCAGCAUAGCCACAGAGGAAAUGGAGAGAAAUCAAACUAUGCCUCAUACUUGGGUGUUUACUAUCUGAUACCUGUUGACACUCAGUUAUAGUGAUGAUUUCAGUGCUUCCAGUUAAUUUAGGUAUUUGUUUAUAGAUAACAGACAGGCUGUUUGACAUCUUGAACAGUCGCAAUCCCAGAGCCAAAGGGUUCAAAGCCCCCCUUGGUUCUAGGAAUUGGACAAGCACCAGGGAGUUCUUGUCAAAAGCCAGGGGGUACUUGCUCACUUUGAAGAUGGAGGAUGGCAAACCCCUUUACCGAACAAAGAGGUCUUUUAAAAUAGUGACUGUUGUAUUAGUGAUGCACUGACACCAUUUGUAGUCGCCAAUACCCAGUACAAAUUCUUUAUUAUAAUUAAAUUAUCAGAAUGAGGCGGCUGAUUUAGAAAAUAUGGGUUUAUUUUAUUCUUCGUUAGAUGUAUACAAGUAGUCAAUUUACAAAUCAUUAAAUUAUCUAAGGUAAAACUCUGCCGGUUUCAGUGCAUCCCUCCAGUCCAUGAUAUAAGUUCAUGAGAUGCUCUGUUCUCUUGUUUAUCUAUCUUCUGCAUCGAGUUCAUAAGAUGCUCUUUUCUGUCUGCGUCAAGUUCAUAAAGUGGUACGUAUUAUUAAUAUGAUACUAUCUUGCUCCAAUGUGUUUGCUCUCUGCAAAUUUGUUUCAGUUCCAAUUCUCUCAUAUUCAGUUUUUUUCUCCCCAGAUGCCGGUGUCAAAAUGGUAUGUAUUGGAUGGUCUUCAUGUUAUGUUGUGAAUUGUUUCAAGAAUGUUUAGUGUCCUAAAAGUAAUUUUAAGGACCCUAAACCUCACACUGAUUAUACUUUUAAGGUCAGGGAUGGACACUAGUCAGCUUCACGAUAUGUCCUGACCUACAGGUUCAGCCAGGACCACUUGGAGCUUCUCUUCAACUCCAUCAGAGCAUCCGGUGGCUGGAAUAACAACCCUAAUGCCAGCCAGUUCAAGUACAUCUUGUUAAACCAUGCAGAGGCAAUGUGACGGCACAGGAUGACACAGAGUCCCUACCAGCUGUCAUCGACACCUCUACAAGCCUGUCAGCUGUAGAUAUGUCCUCUGCAGCAGGAGGAGAAGAUCUUCCAUCCCCCUUUGCUGACAUUCCUGCCCUAGUACAUGACCACAGCUACCUUCCCGUCCGCUUCGAUGGUCUUGUGGACAACGCUCUCGUGUACAUUUCAGGAUUUGUUGUUGAUGGGAUCUGAAGAAGCUGUCCUGUGAUGUCUGCCGUGCCAGCCUGGUGACAGACGCUGCAUCUGUCAUCAAGGACCAGAGCUACCACCUGCUGACUUUAAAAAACAACGGAGGUCUGGUGAUUCCAUCAGGAUGCACAGUGAGGGUCGUCAGGGCAGCAGAGUGGGUCAUUCGUCAGGCAUCAGCAAGUACCGGACGAUCACAGCCCAUCAAACUGCUAGAGGUCGUGUACAUUGUAUGGAAGAGGAUAGGGUCAGAGGAUGUGUUUGUGCUCGGGGAGCACAUCGGCGAAACGCAGUAUGGCAUAGACAGCCAUCACCAUACGCUGUUAACAUUAGUUGUGUCCUUGCUUUUUAAUCUAAGGCUGCACCACAUCGCUAAAAUGACUAACCUUACCUUACAGAGCAACAACAUGCGAGAGAAGCUCAAUAAAACCGUCCUUUUCAAAGGGCAUUAGCCCAAGCUAUGUUUUUUGGGUCAUUGUUUUAUCUCUGUCUUCCACAGUAGUGUAGUUCUCUCUACAGGGUGGGGAUUUCAACAUGCAUUCAGCAUUUCUUUAUGUAUAUUUGUAAAGGGGAAUCUUGUACCUAUUUUUUAUUGCAAAUAAAUGCCACUUUUAUAAUAGUUUAAAAA
This is a long non-coding RNA of Ctenopharyngodon idella (grass carp), 3599 nucleotides long. RefSeq lists it as uncharacterized. The transcript is spliced from 7 exons. The record is from RefSeq and is a predicted model, not a curated record. Lineage: Eukaryota; Metazoa; Chordata; Actinopteri; Cypriniformes; Xenocyprididae.